RNAcentral lists this ribosomal RNA (440 nucleotides) under uncultured Sphingobacteriales bacterium. RNAcentral's name for it is "bacterial SSU rRNA". It matches the Rfam family "Bacterial small subunit ribosomal RNA", at positions 942 to 1382 of the family's 1533-position model. The record is from RNAcentral. Lineage: Bacteria; Pseudomonadati; Bacteroidota; Sphingobacteriia; Sphingobacteriales.
UGGUUUAAUUCGAUGAUACGCGAGGAACCUUACCUGGGCUCGAACGUAAGAUGACUGUAGGUGAAAGCUUACAUCUCUUCGGAGCAUUUUACGAGGUGCUGCAUGGUUGUCGUCAGCUCGUGCCGUGAGGUGUCGGGUUAAGUCCCAUAACGAGCGCAACCCCUACCUUUAGUUGCCAUCAGGUUAAGCUGGGGACUCUAAAGGAACUGCCUACGCAAGUAGUGAGGAAGGCGGGGAUGACGUCAAAUCAGCACGGCCCUUACGUCCAGGGCUACACACGUGCUACAAUGGCCGAUACAGAGGGCAGCUACCUGGUGACAGGAUGCAAAUCUCCAAAGUCGGUCUCAGUUCGGAUCGGAGUCUGCAACCCGACUCCGUGAAGUUGGAUUCGCUAGUAAUCGCGCAUCAGCCAUGGCGCGGUGAAUACGUUCCCGGGCCUU